This 256-nucleotide ribosomal RNA is filed under the name uncultured bacterium. RNAcentral describes it as "partial 16S ribosomal RNA". It matches the Rfam family "Bacterial small subunit ribosomal RNA", at positions 524 to 776 of the family's 1533-position model. The record is from RNAcentral.
GACGUAGGUGGCGAACGUUAUCCGGAAUUAUUGGGCGUAAAGGGUGCGUAGGCAGCAUAAUAAGUUAUUGGCGGUAAAUCGAGGCUCAACCUCGUGGAAACUGAUAAUACUGUUUUGCUUGAGUACAGAAGAGGUUAACGGAACUCCAUGUGGAACGGUAAAAUGUGUAGAUAUAUGGAAGAACAUCAAUAACGGCGAAGGCAGUUAACUAUUCUGUUACUGACGUUGAGGCACGAAAGCGUGGGGAGCAAAAAGG